Molecule: non-coding RNA, 86 nt
Organism: Felis catus (domestic cat)
Lineage: Eukaryota; Metazoa; Chordata; Mammalia; Carnivora; Felidae
Source: Rfam
GCCUGGGUGGCUCAGUCGGUUAAGCGUCCGACUUCGACUCAGAUCAUGAUCUGGUGGUUCGUGGGUUCAAACCCCACAUCGGGGCU